Molecule: ribosomal RNA, 254 nt
Filed under: uncultured bacterium
Lineage: Bacteria
Description: partial 16S ribosomal RNA
Rfam family: Bacterial small subunit ribosomal RNA
Source: RNAcentral
UACAGAGGGUGCAAGCGUUGUUCGGAAUUACUGGGCGUAAAGCGCGCGCAGGCGGAUCCUGCAAGUCCGGAGUGAAAUCGCACUGCUCAACGGUGAGGCUGCUUUGGAUACUGCGGAUCUGGAGACCGGUAGAGGCUGGUAGAAUUGCAGGUGUAGCGGUGGAAUGCGUAGAGAUCUGCAAGAAUACCCGUGGCGAAGGCGGCCAGCUGGGCCGGUUCUGACGCUGAGGCGCGAAAGCGUGGGGAGCAAACAGG